RNAcentral lists this ribosomal RNA (302 nucleotides) under Lumbriculus variegatus. Its description in RNAcentral is "partial 16S ribosomal RNA". It matches the Rfam family "Bacterial large subunit ribosomal RNA", at positions 1974 to 2517 of the family's 2925-position model. The record is from RNAcentral. Lineage: Eukaryota; Metazoa; Annelida; Clitellata; Lumbriculida; Lumbriculidae.
CAUUAAUUGUGGACUGGAAUGAAUGGGUAAUGAAAUUUAAGCUGUCUCUAAUUAACAUUAUAAAAACUAGUCAUUAAGUGAAGAAACUUAAAUUAAAUUGAAAGACAAGAAGACCCUAUAGAGCUUUACUCUAACCUAAAAUAACUAUUUUAGCAACAGUUCGGUUGGGGCGACCAGGGAGCAUCAUCUCUAAACAAACAGAAAAAUAAUUCAUACAAUAUGACCCUUUAAAGAUCAUAAAAUCAAGCUACCUUAGGGAUAACAGGCUAAUUUUCCUACAGAGACCUUAUUAACAGGAAAGA